UCCUCUCCGUGGUGUCAGGGCCCAGCACUCACCAAAGAGCCACCCCCAUCGCCUCCCUGUCCUUUUAUGGGAGCGUCUGAUGCCCAAAAUAGGGCUGUGAUCCCUGCCACAGACACCCGUGGGUCCAAGCGGGAGAUGCCGAAGGCGUGUGUGCAGUGCUGGGGUGUCAUAAUGCCCCUUCCAACAGCACCUGCCUCGCCCCGACCUGGUUGGGCUCAGCUGGCAGCCCCCCACGCCUGUGACGCGUGGCCAUAAACAUGGGUGAACCAAGGUGCUGCUGUCUCUGGAAUCAGGAUUUCUGAAACCACCUUCGGCAGGGCCACGGAGCAGCGUCUAGCUCUCUGAUGGUCCCAGGUCACUGCUGGACCCUGGGUCUCACACUUGACUGUGACCCCCCCCCCAACCCCAGUCCCCAGCAGCAGGGGCUUCCCCGACUGAACCACGGAUGCCCGGCUCGGGGAUUGGAGAAGGCUUCACGGGUCUCUGCUGAGUCAAAUCCAACUUAAAAAGGUGACUAUCUUUGCCUCUUUAAAAACAUAUAUUUUUUUCAUUUAAAAAAUGUGCCACUUUCCCCAAGCCCUUGGGAUACAGUGACAGCCCCUUCAGUGCCCUCACUACCCUGUGUCUGUGCUGAGGCCCUGUGCGGCCCCACACCCUGCCUCCUGCCCCGUCCUGGUGAGGUGUCCCCUCUGGGAAGCCCCAUCGGACACUCGGCCUGGGGGUCCCUCCACCAGCUCUCAGGGCCCCUGUGCCUUCCUGCGGAGCAGCUGACCCUUGGUGUGGAACCUGCUGGUCACCAGGGGUGGGUGGUAGCUUGGGUGCAGCACUGGUUGGUGGCCAGCACCUGGUGCCCUGGGAUUUGGGGAGAAGCCCCCUGCCCACAGAGCACACUGGUCCUGGCUCAAUCGUUUGUUGGAUACACAGGAAAGGUCUCCAGGUAGGGAGGGAGGGGCUGCUCCCCAUGCAGUGUAAAUUCUUCUUCCCUUCUCUUCCAUGUGAAAGUGUCUGUUUCUGGCUUCUGGCCUGAGGCUGCACUUCCCAGCCAGUCAGAAGGGCCAUCCUGCAGGCUGCAACCGUUUAUGAGCAAUAAAGCUCUCCUUUCCAAA
This is a long non-coding RNA of Homo sapiens (human), 1106 nucleotides long. RefSeq lists it as uncharacterized. NCBI's taxonomy places the organism in Eukaryota, Metazoa, Chordata, Mammalia, Primates, Hominidae. The record is from RefSeq and is a predicted model, not a curated record. The transcript has 3 exons.